RNAcentral lists this non-coding RNA (23 nucleotides) under Arabidopsis thaliana (thale cress). Lineage: Eukaryota; Viridiplantae; Streptophyta; Magnoliopsida; Brassicales; Brassicaceae. The record is from RNAcentral.
GCACAAGCCCGACGUAUUGCCUG